RNAcentral lists this ribosomal RNA (253 nucleotides) under uncultured bacterium. RNAcentral describes it as "partial 16S ribosomal RNA". It matches the Rfam family "Bacterial small subunit ribosomal RNA", at positions 524 to 776 of the family's 1533-position model. The record is from RNAcentral.
UACGAAGGGGGCUAGCGUUGCUCGGAAUUACUGGGCGUAAGGGGCGCGUAGGCGGACAGUUAAGUCAGAGGUGAAAGCCCAGGGCUCAACCCUGGAAUUGCCUUUGAUACUGGCUGUCUUGAGUGCGGGAGAGGUGUGUGGAACUCCGAGUGUAGAGGUGAAAUUCGUAGAUAUUCGGAAGAACACCAGUGGCGAAGGCGACACACUGGCCCGUAACUGACGCUGAGGCGCGAAAGCGUGGGGAGCAAACAGG